CUGACAUUUGCUUAAGUAGGUUGGGGUGAGGAUGGGCUGGUGCCUGCUUUGAGGAGGUGCUGGCCAGUUUCUGAUUCUGGACAGCAGUCUCUGCUCCAAAGAACCAGUCUGAAAGAUUAGACAUGGGAGAGGAUAAGAUCAAGAAAUAAAUCAGACUGGAACAGACAAGUAGGAAACACAGGCUUAAAGGAAAAGUAGUGGACGACGAGGGGUUCUUCAGAGCAGCCCAUCAGUCUCAUUCACUGCAGAGAAGAAAGAGUUGAGAACUUCAGUUUCAAGAGGCACUGUUGUACAUUGAUCUCUGUGGGCACGCUCCGCUAACUGCCAAGAUAUAAUGCAGCGUGUAGCAUGCUUAUGACUCGCAUCACAAUAACGUGGAAGUCAAGUCAGUGUGGGCUAUGCUGCUGCUGCUACACAUGGAGGUGAGGAGAGGGAGCACUUGAGUGAAGAAGGGACAAGCAGAAGCCCUGCGCUGCAGUUCCCUGUCAGGCUCAUGGCAAGUCAGGACACUACAGAACAGGAGCAAAGAGGCCUGCAGCAAAAAUGAGCUGGUCUAGGAUGUGUCUGGCCAUCUGCAGUGACCUCAUCCUACUGAAAAGCCACAGGGAUUUCUUGCCAGGUCACUGCUGAAUUUGCAGGUCUUUGGUUUUGCAUGUGUUUUAUUUGAGGAUUAGCCUUACUAAAUGUAGAUUAAAUGCCUAUCUACAUACAUUUGCAAAUAUGUUCAGGGAUAGUGGGCCUAGCAAUUCUCUCUGUACCUUUGCUUUUCAUGCAAAACAGUCUAUCUUGGUUUAAUGAUCUUGAGCCAGACUGACAAAUGUUAAUAUUAAUUAUCUUUCUUACUUAGAUGGAAUCUAAGGGUUUGGAAAUAUUUUUCCUUAUCUAGCUCUUUCAAGAAAUAAGAACCUUGAGUAUUAGGGUUGGUGGUGGUGCUAAGGAGAACAUGCAGACUUCUGUUUUUAGCCAAAAAGACUAGGUACUGCUCUGAUAAUAUGGCUAGCAGAUGGGGAGCAUGCAGCUGGCUAAGCGCUGACAAUUAGGCUGGGCAGCCCAUGCAGCUGAGUUCUUUGCUCUUGGCAAAAGAACACAUGGCUUCUUGGCAGUGAAACUGGGUCUUAUUCUAUUGAUAAGAAUGCACACUUUCCUUAUUUGCAUGCACAAUAAAUGCAGAUUUCACAGUAAGCUAAUGAUAGGUGUCUAUGAGGUAUGACAGUAUCAGCUCAAUUGUUGAUUUAGCUAUUCUGGUAGAAAAUGCACCUUAUUAGUUUCAUACUGCAAUAGGAAGAGGUUCAGUUGUACUCACAAGCUCUGCUGGAGCUGUAUCUAUUGUUCUGCCGGUUCAUACCCAAUAUAAAUACACUAGAGAAACCCUUUUUCAGCUUUGCAGAUCAUAAGAAAUAAAGAGCACUCUGAGUAAGAAUGCUACUGAAUAAAGCAUUGAGUAAUCCGAGCUUAUGGAACAGAAAAAUCAAGCAGUAUAUGAAAGUGAGAAGCAUAGUUCAUAUACAUAUUGUAAUAAAUAACAUAAAUUAAUUCUCAAUAAGUUAUUUUUAAGGUAGGCUUCUUGCUUUGAAAAAUAGCUACUAAGUUUAGUCUAGUCAACUACUGUUAAAUGAAUUCUCCAACCAGAUUAGUAUAAUACUCAGCUUACACUAGAAAAGCAGCAUCUACGCUAUCCCCUUUUUUUCCUUCUGUUUCUGCCUUAUAUUGCCACAAUUGCUAACAGGACCUACCAUUUAAUAUCACAUCUGGAUGGGACAUAUUGUGGCUGUAAUUAUACUUACCUAAGUAUAUUUUUAAAUUUUCCCCUCCAUAUUAUAUGAGUAUAUCUUUCUAAGUGUAUCUUUCUAUAUUAAAGUUUAAAAUAAAGGCAAAGAAUGAAGUAUAUUGAAGAGAGCCAGGUAGAAAGACUAGCAGAUCUACUUUGUAGCAUCAUGUAGGUAAGCUGGCUGAUUCUUUGUGUGGUUUUCAAUGCAGAUAUCAUACAUUUUUAGACAGUGGCUUUCAGAUUAUGAAAAUAUGUUCUUUUUUGCAUAUAAAAAUAAUCAGCUUCUAAAGCUCUGAUCUGGUAUGUCAGUUUCAUGCUGAAUCCUCAGAUUUGUACGUGAUUAUAAGUCUCUGUGGUUGUUAAGCUAGUAAUCCACUUGUAGUUUGCAUUAAAAAUUGCUAGUAGUGUUCCGUGACCUGUGGAUGAAAGUGUCAGUGCUCAACAGAAAAGAUCUUUGUUUUCACCUUUAAAAGGCUGCUGGCUUGUUACUGCUUCCUCAGGCAGAAAAGUUUAAAAUUAAUGUAAAGAUCAUUUGACCUUACAGUUUAGAGAAAUUGAGGUUCUGUCAUGGUAAUCCUAAUGGCUGUGACUGUGACACCUACAACUUGCAGCUUUCUAGGAGACUCAUAUGUACUGCAUUGCAUCAGAGAGUAAUUUUGAUAGCUCUGCCCUUACCCUCUUUAGACAAAUGAUUACACGCACAGAACUUCCCUUUCUGAGCUAGUGGCUCCAGGAGAGGGAUCCAUUCACAGUGAAAUCCUCUUAUUCAGCACUCUUGUUGGCAAGCUGUUGUGGGUAUGGCAUGGACAUUUGGAAUAGCUAUAAUAAAUGUAGCAUGAAAGGUAAGUGGAUAAUAUUAGUAGUAUAAAUAAAUUCUAGGUACUUUCCAUACUAAGCACGCUUGCAGAUUGUUAUUUGAAUGCAGACGGUGUGAUAAUUAAAAUACAUCAGACAGACUUGAUUUAUUUGACACAUGAAAUGCAAUUAUGUAUUAUUUAUGGAACUUGAAUAUUAAGAUUUUUUUUUCAUUAAUUGAAGUAUGAAAGCAAAAUACAUUGUUGAUGUUAUUUUUUCUGUAAGAGAUUCUUAAAACAACUUACUUACAGCUCAGGCAUAAAAUAAAGAAAAGGCAGAAUGGUCAGCCUGGCUGUGAAACUUCAUCAGUAGGAAAAUGCACAACUUUGUAAAGGAGGAGAACAAAGAUUUUCAACAAAGCCAUCCUUAUAUCUUAUAUAAACAGUCAUUAUGCACCUUCUUCUGGCAGGAAAUUACUAUUUAAUAUGCAGAAAUAGUGGCUACUUAAAAGCAGUGUGAAUGAUGAUGUAUUUAAGAAUAAUUUAAUCAGCUGCUUCUCUAUUUAAGCUGCUCUAUUUAAGAUCCCUAAUUUAAAAAGCAAACAACAAAAACACAUAAUUUGUGAAAGAACUGUAAAUGCUAACAAAAGUUUUGUGCUGCUGUAUGCUUUUAAAUAGUUUUAUUUUCCAGUGUAUUGGAGUUUGCUUGUAAUUGAAAAGCAUUUAUGAGAUCAGUCAGAUCACUGAAUUACAGAAUGGCUGAUGUGGAUGGGUACUUCUGAAGAUCAUCAUACCCCAGCCCUCUCCUCAAAGCAGGUGUCAGCUGGAGCAUGUUGUUUAGAGCCACAAUUAGUGGAGUUUUGUAUAGCUCCAAGGACAGAAACUCUAUGACCUCUCUAAGCAACCUGUGCUGUUGCUCAGCCAUCCUAGUGGCAAGGAAAGUUUUUCUCAUGUUUGAACAGAAUUUCCUGUGUUAUCAGUCUGUACCUGUUGCCUCUUCUCCUGUCACUGGACAUCAACCCCAGACAUCAAGUAUUUGUUCACUUUGGUAAGAUCCUUCCUGUGCCUUCUCUCCUUCAGGCUGAACAAUGCAUGUCUCUCAGCUUCUCCUCAGAUUUUAGAUGCUCCACGCCAUUAAUGUUCUUGAUGGGUCAUUGAUGGGUCCACUCCAGAUGGGCUAUAGCUCAAAGGUUCAUCUAAAGUGCUAGUGUCCAUCUGAAGAGCUAGUUAGAAGAUAGAUAAUUCUAUGAUCUCAUGCAAGCGGGUUGCUGUUAUGUAAUGUGUGAUAAAGUUUUGUAACUGACCCAUACUGAAUGCUUCCAACAGGUGAACAAGCAAGCUUGUCAGCACUCCCUCUCCAGAACUAUCAAAAGAAUAAUGUGUGCUCACCCAAUUUAAAUCUGUUUGCUGAAUGUCCAGAUACGCUUUGCAAAAUGUUCAUGAACCAUUAGAAAGCUGGAGUCUUUCAGAUGAGUUCAGGAUGCAUUGUGUUAGUGUCUUAAUGUCCAGCCGAAGUAGCAGGUCUAAUUGACUACUAUCUCUGCUUAGAUUAAGGAAGAAAUCGAAUUUCAAAAUAUGGGUAAACGUCAGAAACAGGGUUAAAGGUGUAACAACACAGACUAUAAGAGAGGAAGAACUGAGCAAUGACAGACAGAUCCUCAGCUUCAACAGUCAUCCCAUUCUCCAUCAACACACUGUUUUAUUCUAUUUUCCUUGGUUAAAAACAAGAACUAAGAAAAUUCCGUCACCUUUGUUUCUAUUUCUGACUAUCACUAUAGUAGCAAGCAAAUGCUAUGGAUCUGAAUCUGUUGCGCAUCUGCUCUUAAAAAACAAAGUCUGUUUUAUCCUCACAGUCACAGUGAGAUCUACCCAAAGGUGGCAAUAUCAAUCAUCUUCAAAAAAAGAUGCAACAAUUUCAAAGGCAUUUGCAGCUCUAAGAAAAACAAAAUACGGUAACAAGUCAUGUUUGGGAUACACAACACUUUAAGAAUUGGUUAAAAUCGGUGACAUUGCUUCAAAAGCUUCCUCUUUGAAUUUUUGGGGUUUUUUGAUCUUGUGUAGAAUAUAGUGAUGAUAUAUCGGUGAUGAUGUUGUCACAUAUAGGUAAGACUAACACUACAUCCAUAAAGGUAAUAGGAACUUUAUCUUUGUGUUUUAAGCAAAACCAGUAUAAACAUAUAAUGCUUGUUAGUUAACACUGCUGCCUCAGAUUAUGUUACUGAACACUCCUUUGGCAGAUGCAUUAGAAAUAAACAUUUCCCUGGCAUUCUGCUCUUUCCUUAGCUUCAGUGUGUAAGUGACUGCAAAGCGGUGACUGCACCAUCCUUUGACUAGGUUACAGAUGUGUGCAUGGUUAUCCUUGGGAAUGAGAAGACAUAAAUGAGACUUGAAAUUUUUACAUGCUCUUUGUACAAUUUAGGGCAAAUGUUUUUCUUGGAGGAGGCCUGAAUUUGGAAACCAUUAUUUUGAAGAUUCUGGGGUAAUUAUGAACCUAGG
Molecule: non-coding RNA, 5058 nt
Organism: Coturnix japonica (Japanese quail)
Lineage: Eukaryota; Metazoa; Chordata; Aves; Galliformes; Phasianidae
Source: RefSeq, a predicted model, not a curated record